UACGGAGGGGGCUAGCGUUGUUCGGAAUUACUGGGCGUAAAGCGCGCGCAGGCGGAUGUUCAAGUCGGGGGUGAAAUCCCGGGGCUCAACCCCGGAACUGCCUCCGAUACUGGACGUCUGGAGGACGGGAGAGGCGAGUGGAAUGCCGAGUGUAGAGGUGAAAUUCGUAGAUAUUCGGCGGAACACCCGUGGCGAAGGCGGCUCGCUGGUCCGUUUCUGACGCUGAGGCGCGAAAGCGUGGGGAGCAAACAGGAUUAGAAACCCCAGUAGUCC
RNAcentral lists this ribosomal RNA (273 nucleotides) under uncultured bacterium. RNAcentral's name for it is "partial 16S ribosomal RNA". It matches the Rfam family "Bacterial small subunit ribosomal RNA", at positions 524 to 796 of the family's 1533-position model. The record is from RNAcentral.